This 305-nucleotide long non-coding RNA is filed under the name Corvus moneduloides (New Caledonian crow). Its description in RNAcentral is "lncRNA (ENSCMUG00000017916.1)". The record is from RNAcentral. Lineage: Eukaryota; Metazoa; Chordata; Aves; Passeriformes; Corvidae.
GUUUUUUCUCUCUUUAUUUUGGUUUCCAUCUCCUCAACACCUGAACCAACAGUCACAUUGCAGGCCAAGCCAGAUGGGCAAGCAAUACAAGCUGUGAAUUUAUCCUUGACCCCAUAGGACAGUGACCACCGUCAUUUUUGUCUUCACCGUACAGUUAUGCACUGCCAGUAAGAUCCUGGAGCACAGGAAAAGAGUUUUAAUGCAAAAUACCAGAAAAAAAAGUCUGCAACAUCUCCUGUGAGAGGGUGAAAAAAAGGAGAUUAACAAUUGCAUCUUUAAACACUCAUAAUUUGAGGUACAGUUUA